RNAcentral lists this ribosomal RNA (370 nucleotides) under uncultured bacterium. RNAcentral's name for it is "bacterial SSU rRNA". It matches the Rfam family "Bacterial small subunit ribosomal RNA", at positions 524 to 896 of the family's 1533-position model. The record is from RNAcentral.
UACGGAGGGUGCAAGCGUUAUCCGGAUUCACUGGGUUUAAAGGGUGCGUAGGUGGGUUGGUAAGUCAGUGGUGAAAUCCCCGAGCUUAACUUGGGAACUGCCAUUGAUACUAUCAGUCUUGAAUACUGUGGAGGUUAGCGGAAUAUGUCAUGUAGCGGUGAAAUGCUUAGAUAUGACAUAGAACACCAAUUGCGAAGGCAGCUGGCUACACAAAUAUUGACACUGAGGCACGAAAGCGUGGGGAUCAAACAGGAUUAGAUACCCUGGUAGUCCACGCCCUAAACUAUGGAUACUCGACAUACGCGAUACACAGUGUGUGUCUGAGCGAAAGCAUUAAGUAUCCCACCUGGGAAGUACGAUCGCAAGAUUG